CCCUUCUUAGGGUUGCACCUGAAGAGUUUCCAGUCCUCUACUAGUCUUGACUCUGGGAGGGAGAGUCAAGCAGAGGCAUACCCAUUCCGUUCCUAGCUUGGGCAGUGGCUAGCGAGUGGAAGAUAAUCUGCUACAAGU
Small nucleolar RNA from Tachyglossus aculeatus (Australian echidna), 138 nucleotides. The record is from RefSeq and is a predicted model, not a curated record. NCBI's taxonomy places the organism in Eukaryota, Metazoa, Chordata, Mammalia, Monotremata, Tachyglossidae.